Molecule: ribosomal RNA, 1312 nt
Filed under: uncultured soil bacterium PBS-114
Lineage: Bacteria; Pseudomonadati; Planctomycetota; Planctomycetia; Planctomycetales
Description: bacterial SSU rRNA
Rfam family: Bacterial small subunit ribosomal RNA
Source: RNAcentral
CGGCGUGGAUUAGGCAUGCAAGUCGAACGAGAAUGGGUGAAGCCCGCAAGGGUGGAUCCCUAGUACAGUGGCGAAAGCGUGAGUAAUGCAUAAAUAACCUGCCCUCUAGCGGGGGACAACGUCUGGAAACGGACGCUAAUACCGCAUGUGUCGUCGAGACCGCAUGGUUUUGACGCGAAAGGCCGGGACCGUAAGGCCGGUCACUAGAGGAGGGGUUUAUGUUCUAUCAGCUAGUUGGUGAGGUAACGGCCCACCAAGGCUCUGACGGAUAGCCGGACUGAGAGGUCGGCCGGCCACACUGGGACUGAGACACUGCCCAGACUCCUACGGGAGGCUGCAGUCGAGGAUCUUCGGCAAUGCGCGAAAGCGUGACCGAGCGACGCCGCGUGAAGGAUGAAGGCCUUCGGGUCGUAAACUUCUGUCACAGGUUAUGAAUAAGGUACACUGAAUAUGUGUGCCGAUGACCAGCCGCGGUAAUACGAGGAGGGCGAACGUUGUUCGGAUUUACUGGGCUUAAAGGGCGCGUAGGCGGUUUGAUAUGUCGGGGUUGAAAUCCCUCAGCCCAACCGAGGAAUAGGUCCCGAAACUGUCAGACUUGAAUGCAUCAGGGGCGUGUGGAACUCCAGGUGGAGCGGUGAAAUGCGUAGAUAUCUGGAGGAACGCCGGUGGCGAAAGCGACACGCUGGGGUGCUAUUGACGCUGAGGCGCGAAAGCUAGGGGAGCAAACAGGAUUAGAUACCCUGGUAGUCCUAGCUGUAAACGAUGGAUACUAAGUAGCGGUGUCUCCGAUGGCAUCGCUGCCGGAGUGAAAGUAUUAAGUAUCCCGCCUGGGGAGUACGGUCGCAAGACUAAAACUCAAAGGAAUUGACGGGGGCUCGCACAAGCGGUGGAGGAUGUUGUUUAAUUCGAGGCAACGCGAANAACCUUACCUGGGUUUGACAUGUACGUGGUAGGGACCCGAAAGGGCGACNAUCCGGAGCAAUCCGGAAGCGUAUACAGGUGCUGCAUGGCUGUCGUCAGCUCGUGCCGUGAGGUGUUGGGUUAAGUCCCGUAACGAGCGAAACCCUUGUCACUAGUUACUAACAGGUAACGCUGAGGACUCUAGUGAGACUGCCGGUGUUAAACCGGAGGAAGGUGGGGAUGACGUCAAGUCCUCAUGGCCCUUAUUACCCAGGGCUACAAACGUCCUACAAUGAUCGGUACAGAGAGAUGCAAGACCGCAAGGUGGAGCAAAUCUGUUAAAGCCGACCUCAGUUCGGAUCGUGGGCUGCAAUUCGUCCACGUGAAGCUGGAAUCGCUAGUAAUCGCGCAU